UCAGACACCCACAGCCAAUCAGAAUGCAUACCUGAGAAGGAAUGUUCAUAUGCAUGUGUACAUCUUUGUACUCUGAAAGUAAAAGCACAGUUGUCAGCAGGUGCUUGUUGCAGUCCGGAAAUUUUGACCAGUCUACCUGAAGCUUUGGUAGUACAAAUGAAAGGCCAUCAUUAAACUUUGGGUGGUAUUUUCAGAAGCUGUCGAUGUUGGCUCAACUCUGCUUUCAUUUAAUUCAACUUCCAUGACUUUGCUCCACUGAAGUAGGUUUGCUGUGUUGUUAUAGCCGCAGGGUCUAGGAAGGUGAGGGGUUUUUUGUGAUGUAUUUUACAGGACUAGGGGAGAGGUUGGACAACCUUUCAAGCCCAAAGUGCCCUCCUUUAGGUCUGGAAAAGAAGUAGUCACAGACUAAGAUAAAUACCAGAAAAAAAACAAUGGCUUGUGUUUAAUUACAUGUAAAAGAAGAGAGUCACUUAGAAGAAUGUAAGAUGGUUGUGAAACAGGAGUAAAGUGAGAAGAUCAGAGUGAUAAAGAUCCUUUUCCCUUUUGAAUGGUCUUGUUCUUCUACAAAAAUAGUUUCUAUUCCACUGCAGCUCACUUGUUUUGAAGCUGCUUCUAAUUGCCUCUCUUUGCUCUUGCUUCACAGGCAUCCUCCAGUGAAGGCACCUCAACCCUUCCAGCUGCUCAGCCCUUUGAAAUCAACCUACAGAAGCCUCUGCCAGGGCUGGAGAGGAAGAUGAGGGGCGAGAAGAUGUCCACAGCCAGCAGCUAUGAAGACCCACAUGCAGCACUUCAGAAUCGUUUUUGCUUUUCCUUGGCAGAAGCAGAAACUACUAUUGUAUUUUCUUGCUUAUAAUGCACACCCCCACUUCCAGGCCAUGAAUGUUGGAAAAGAGAUUAAGUGAGUAACACUAGAUGGAGCCUUCCUUGUCUUAGAAGCAUAUGAGACUGCUGCUUUGAAUUUGUGGAGUGAAUAUUUCUUUCAUUAAAAGAACUGUGGAGUUUUUUUUAACAUGGUUAAAAACACGGUUGUUUCUGAUGUAAAGGAUGUUAUCUAAUGAGAAAAAUAUAAUGAUAUAACCACGUCUUCCAUAAACAAUUACAUAAGGGAAAAAUUACAUUGCAUGAUUUCCUUGUACAUGAGAACAAUCUACAAUUCUAAAUGCAAAGACCUGAAAAGGUUAUUACUCUGUUGGAGUUAGAUACAGCAAAAUAUUAUUAAAAAUACUCCUUGAGAUGCUCAUCUGCAUGUUCCAGACUUGUUUGGUUUUGUGUAACUGAAAUGCAAUUUUAGAAAGAGAAUGAAUUUGUUUGUAAGCCUUUAUAUAAGACAGUCAUUUUACUAGCUGCAUUGAAAGCCUUCCAGCUUAUUCAAAACAGAGCCCCAAAGUGGUUAUACUUUAGAAAAUAUGCUAUGGUUUUAAAUCCUCUUGAAAACUGUGUUGCAUAUAUAGGUAGAUGGAAUUGUUUCUGCAUCACAAAUAUUUGUGGGUUAGCUCUGAAUCUCGGAGCAAUGAAAAGGAAAUAUAAUGUUGUAGCAGUAGUUGUAGCAUUUGCAAAUACACGUCUUAGAAAAAUCUAUUCAGCAUAUGCUAAUUAAUCUGGCAUUUAUUUUGAUCAACUGAUUAUUAUUCUGUUAUGUCUCAUUUGGUGAUUCUGAAGUAUAAAGACAACACGGGUCUUUCCGGAUUGUACGAUGCCAUGUUCUUAGUAUAGAAAACCAAUCUCUAAAAUAUUAUAGUUAAGAAUUGGACUUGCUUCAACAUUCUUUGAACAUAGACAGCUUCUAUUCAAGAGCACUAGAUUACAACUUAAUUAUGAAAUGAACCAUUUCUCCUUAAUUAUUUUUAAUGAAUUCUAAAUUACAUAUAAACAAUGGAUGCAUACUGCAGAUAUAUAGAAUGAUGAGAGGAUCCUAGCAAAAAGCAAAUAUAAAAUAAAUCUCAGGCAAAUUACAUAAAUUUUGUCUAAGAAACCUCUCUCUUGAUUAGCAUUCUUGACACACACUGCCUGAGAGAUACAUGAACAAUGUUAUUCAAAAUAGGAAGUCUCUGAACCAAGUGGAUUGUAAACAAAUGACAAACCUUCCUAUGAAAUUUUGUGACAAACUAGAGCCUUGACUCUUCAAAGAUUUAUGCAUGUGCUUAAUUUCAUGCCCUAUCAAUUGUCCCAGUGAUUUUCAGUGCCUGAACUUAAUUCCUUGUGUAACUCUAAGCAAUUGUUGUAGGGUUGGGGUCUAAUUGAAUAAUACUUAUUUUUCCUGUUUCUCCAUUAUAAACAAAAGCAACCUAUAUAAUAUUUUACAAAAUCUAGAUUAAAAGAAUA
Molecule: long non-coding RNA, 2322 nt
Organism: Alligator mississippiensis (American alligator)
Lineage: Eukaryota; Metazoa; Chordata; Crocodylia; Alligatoridae
Exons: 3
Source: RefSeq, a predicted model, not a curated record